This 74-nucleotide transfer RNA is filed under the name Myxacorys chilensis ATA2-1-KO14. RNAcentral describes it as "tRNA-Gly". It matches the Rfam family "tRNA". Rfam says of the family: Transfer RNA (tRNA) molecules are approximately 80 nucleotides in length. Their secondary structure includes four short double-helical elements and three loops (D, anti-codon, and T loops). Further hydrogen bonds mediate the characteristic L-shaped molecular structure. tRNAs have two regions of fundamental functional importance: the anti-codon, which is responsible for specific mRNA codon recognition, and the 3' end, to which the tRNAs corresponding amino acid is attached (by aminoacyl-tRNA synthetases). tRNAs cope with the degeneracy of the genetic code in two manners: having more than one tRNA (with a specific anti-codon) for a particular amino acid; and 'wobble' base-pairing, i.e. permitting non-standard base-pairing at the 3rd anti-codon position. RNAcentral also lists the same sequence under 1 other name. The record is from RNAcentral. Lineage: Bacteria; Bacillati; Cyanobacteriota; Cyanophyceae; Leptolyngbyales; Leptolyngbyaceae.
GUGGACAUGGUGUAGUGGUAGCAUGCGAGGCUUCCAACCUCCUGGUGUGGGUUCAAAUCCCACUGUCCAUACCA